GACGAACGCUGGCGGCGUGCUUAACACAUGCAAGUCGUACGGUAAGGCCCCUUCGGGGGUACACGAGUGGCGCACGGGUGAGUAACACGUGAGUAACCUGCCCACAACUUUGGGAUAACGCUAGGAAACUGGUGCUAAUACUGGAUAUGUGCUCCUGCUGCAUGGUGGGGGUUGGAAAGCUCCGGCGGUUGUGGAUGGACUCGCGGCCUAUCAGCUUGUUGGUGGGGUAGUGGCCUACCAAGGCGGCGACGGGUAGCCGGCCUGAGAGGGUGACCGGCCACAUUGGGACUGAGAUACGGCCCAGACUCCUACGGGAGGCAGCAGUGGGGAAUAUUGCACAAUGGGCGCAAGCCUGAUGCAGCAACGCCGCGUGCGGGAUGACGGCCUUCGGGUUGUAAACCGCUUUCAGCAGGGACGAAGCUUUUUGUGACGGUACCUGCAGAAGAAGCACCGGCUAACUACGUG
RNAcentral lists this ribosomal RNA (465 nucleotides) under uncultured bacterium. RNAcentral's name for it is "partial 16S ribosomal RNA". It matches the Rfam family "Bacterial small subunit ribosomal RNA", at positions 28 to 507 of the family's 1533-position model. The record is from RNAcentral.